AUGCAUGGUCGUGUUCAUCGGGAGGGCUUGGACGGAACAGGCGAUGAAAACGAGGCCUGGCGUAAGGAAACAGACCUCCUACAUUCAGAACGGGGUCCUGUUGAUCGGGAGGGGUGUGGCGUACCGCAAAACGGAGGAAACGGAUCUCCUACGGUCGAAACAGGGGUCCUGUUGAUCGGGAGGGGUGUGGCGUACCGCAAAACGGACGAAACAGACUUGUGUUGGAGCACUACGGUCGAAACGGGGGUCUUGUUGAUCGGGAGGGGUGCGGCGUACAGCAAAACCGACGAAACGGACUUGUGUUGGAGCGCUACGGUCGAAACGGGGGUCCUGUUGAUCGGGAGGGGUGUGGCGUACCGCAAAACGGACGAGACAGACUUGUGUUGGAGCGCUACGGUCGAAACGGGGGUCCUGUUCAUCGGGAGGGGUGUGGCGUACCGCAAAACGGGACUCCACGGGAUAGUGUUCAUCUCCACCGUCGACCUCCUCCAGCCUGCACGGGCUACCAUCGACCUCCUCCAGCCUCCACGGGCUCCUAUUCAUCCAGCCUCCACCGCGCGCUACUCCACCGGCUACUGUUCAACCACCCCUCCACGGGCACCCCUCCACCGUAUACUGUUCAUCCAGAGGCAACGCCACUGCUCACUGUUCAUCCAACCCCCCCCCUGCAAUGCUCUCUGUUCAUCCAAUCGAUCGGCUUCAGUUAGCAGCAGUAGCAAAGGAAUCACUCCAUCGGGUUCGGUUCACAGCCAUCGAUCGAUCGCUCGGGUUUAG
RNAcentral lists this ribosomal RNA (774 nucleotides) under Triticum aestivum (bread wheat). Its description in RNAcentral is "partial small subunit ribosomal RNA". The record is from RNAcentral. Lineage: Eukaryota; Viridiplantae; Streptophyta; Magnoliopsida; Poales; Poaceae.